UCCGAAUACAGCCGACUUUUGCUAUUGCGUGGUCAAAUCUUGCUGGCCUGUUGAUGGAAGCAGGGGACUACGAAAGAGCUCUUGCUUAUUAUCAGGAGGCUAUUCGAUUAAAGCCAAACUUUGCGGACGCUCAUUUGAAUCUUGGGAACGCCUUGAAAAAUCUUGGUAAAGCUCAGGAGUCC
Molecule: long non-coding RNA, 182 nt
Organism: Selaginella moellendorffii
Lineage: Eukaryota; Viridiplantae; Streptophyta; Lycopodiopsida; Selaginellales; Selaginellaceae
Exons: 3
Source: RefSeq, a predicted model, not a curated record